Molecule: non-coding RNA, 73 nt
Organism: Schistocerca nitens (vagrant locust)
Lineage: Eukaryota; Metazoa; Arthropoda; Insecta; Orthoptera; Acrididae
Source: the annotation of a RefSeq genome assembly
GCUGUGGUAGUGUUGUGGUUAGCAUUUCUGCCUAGCAAGCAAGAAGGCCCGGGUUUGAGUCCCGGCCGCAGCA